CCUACGGGUGGCAGCAGUGGGGGAUAUUGGACAAUGGGGGCAACCCUGAUCCAGCGACGCCGCGUGAGUGAAGAAGUAUUUCGGGAUGUAAAGCUCUUUUAGCAGGGAAGAAAGAAAUGACGGUACCUGAGUAAUAAGCCCCGGCUAACUACGUGCCAGCAGCCGCGGUAAUACGUAGGUGGCAAGCGUUAUCCGGAUUUACUGGGUGUAAAGGGAGUGUAGACGGGAAUGCAAGUCUGGUGUGAAAGGCAGGGGCCCAACCCAUGGACUGCACUGGAAACUGUGUAACUGGAGUGCAGGAGAGGCAGGCGGAAUUCCUAGUGUAGCGGUGAAAUGCGUAGAUAUUAGGAGGAACACCAGUGGCGAAGGCGGCCUGCUGGACUGCAACUGACGUUGAGGCUCGAAAGCGUGGGGAGCAAACAGGAUUAGAUACCCGGGUAGUC
RNAcentral lists this ribosomal RNA (443 nucleotides) under uncultured bacterium. RNAcentral describes it as "partial 16S ribosomal RNA". It matches the Rfam family "Bacterial small subunit ribosomal RNA", at positions 338 to 795 of the family's 1533-position model. The record is from RNAcentral.